This 271-nucleotide ribosomal RNA is filed under the name uncultured bacterium. RNAcentral's name for it is "partial 16S ribosomal RNA". It matches the Rfam family "Bacterial small subunit ribosomal RNA", at positions 524 to 794 of the family's 1533-position model. The record is from RNAcentral.
UACGAGUGCUCCAAGCGUUAUCCGGAAUCAUUGGGCGUAAAGGGUUUGUAGGCGGUCUUGUUAGUCUUCUGUCAAAACUUCUGGCUCAACCAGAAGUCUGCAGGGGAAACGGCAAGACUUGAGGAUGCGAGGGGUGAAUGGAACUCAUAGUGUAGGGGUGAAAUCCGUUGAUAUUAUGGGGAACACCAAAAGCGAAGGCAAUUCACUGGCGCACUCCUGACGCUGAAAAACGAAAGCGUGGGUAGCGAAUGGGAUUAGAUACCCCAGUAGU